Long non-coding RNA from Pongo pygmaeus (Bornean orangutan), 3621 nucleotides. RefSeq lists it as uncharacterized. Lineage: Eukaryota; Metazoa; Chordata; Mammalia; Primates; Hominidae. The transcript has 2 exons. The record is from RefSeq and is a predicted model, not a curated record.
GGAUAAUCUUUCUCAACCCUAUCCCUAAUCACUCCCAUUGAUAUGUAAACAUGUUAGAAAACAAGUGUUUCAUGAAUUCACACAUAUUCAGGGUUUAGAUACAACCUCUACAGAGGUUGGCCAGGACCUCUUGAAAUGACUGUCACUUCUCCUUCAUGGCUUGGGGUUGCAAAACUGAUCCGUUUAUCUGUACCUAGGUUUCCAGUAGCUAGCAGUUGCUACCAGUUAAACCAGAAAUUAAGUUUCAUUUCCCUUAUGAUAAUAUAGCUCUAUUCCACCAUUAUAAUUCUACACCCUAACUCCAACCCACUGUCUUCCAUUGUACAAGAUAAGACAAUGCUGGUCAAUAAAAAUUCCUUACUUCUCUUAGGAAAACCUCUAUUACUGAUGGUGGAUUGGGUUAGGAAUUUUAUAGUAUUCCAAAGAGAGCAUGUAAAAAGGCCUUUUCUCAAAAGCCUUCCUUUUUCUUCCCUCUUGUCACUCAGUACCAGAUAUGGGGUCAGGGUUACAAGUAUACUAUAGGAAAGAAUGAGUUUCAAUAUAAAUGGAUAUUCCAUGUUGAACUAAGCUACUCUCUUAAAAUCAGAUUCAAGUUUUUGUUUCAAAUUACCAAGUUUUUCUUACUUCCCUAAUUUCUUCAUCUACUAUAGACAGGAUUAAAAUGACUCAAAGGUAUUCCAAUCAAGUGGAGAAACCUAAAGGAAAAAUCUAGUUAGCCUAAAAAGCCUUGGCCUAAGAAAAAAUAAGGCAGAUGACAGUCAAGACAGGAUUCCUCCUACCCUCUUCCUUUUAACUGACCCACUACUGACAGAUCCAUACAAUACAGCAUGUUAGAAAUUUGGGUAAGAAGGGAUUGCAGUUGGAAAAAAAUAGAGUUCUCUAUAAACACUAUGAAAGAGUUACAUUUAAAACAUACUAGAAUUGUCCCACAAAUGUAUAUUUCGGAAGAAGUUUAUUAAGAGGUUUUAGGCUUUAAGCAUAUGUGAAAAGCAAAUUACAUUUUAAAGUAUAUAAUUUGUUUGCAUUUUCCACCUUCUCAAUGCCAAUGAAAUAUUCUAGGAGACUCUAUAAGAUAACCAAUUGAUUUUCUACUACUCCCAAAUUUUAACUUUGUAAUUUAAAGAGAAAUAGGCAAAUAGAGCUGCUGUAGUUCUGGUUCUCCCUGCAGGAUGAAGGGGGCCUGCAAAAUGUCUCCUACUUCCAUUCUAGUCAUUCAGCAAGGUACCUUCCUCUGGAUGCACUGUCUGUAUACUUUUGCCAUUUUGCAUCACAUAAUGAUUCUGCCGACCUUCACCAUUUGACUGUCAGUAAAAGAAUGUAUGUGCUCAUUUCUUCUUUUAUUAUAGCGCAGUGCUCUUCAUGAAGUCUGAAUCUUGUUUCAUUUGUGAUUGUAAUUAGCACUUGCUUCUUCAAGACUGGCUAAAUGAUGAUAAUCAGUGAAGUUGUGUGAUGGGCACGUGGAUGUGUAUUAUAUUUUUCUACUUUGGUUAAUAUUUGAAUAUUCCAAUAAGUUUUAAAAUAACUUGUUUCUGUUAUUAGAAUGGCCUGUCCAGAAGACAGCCAAAUACAUCCUUCAAAUAGACUUCACUGCAGGAGACAGAGUGGAUUCAUCCCGUAUUCUCCACAUGGACUUCCAUCUUCAUGAGUACUCCAAGAAGGUUGGGUUCAGUUGACUAUUGCAAAGUCUCAGGUAUGUCUUUAUCAGCAGCAUGAAAACGGACUAAUAGUACCAGUAGAGUGGGGCAUUGCUGAAAAGAUACCCGAAAAUGUGGAAGCAACUUUGGAACUGGGUGUUGAAAUAAUCUGGAGGGCUCAGAAGAAGAUAGGAAAAUGUGGGAAAGUUUGGAACCUCCUAGAGACUUGUGAAUGGCAUUGACAAAAAUACUGAUAGUGAUAUGAACAAUAAGGUCCAGGCUGAGGUGGUCUCAGAUGGAGAUGAAGACCUUGUUGGGAACUGGAGUAAAGGUGACGCUUGUUAUGUUUUAGCAAGGAGACUGGCAGCAUUUCACCCCUGCCCUAGAGAUUUGUGGAACUUUAAGCUUGAGAGAGAUGAUUUAGGGUAUCUGGUGGAAUAAAUUUCUAAGCUGCAAAGCAUUCAAAAGGUGACUUGGGUGCUGUUAAAAACAUUCUUUUUUAAAAGGGAAACAAGAACAUAAAAGUGGAAAAUUUGCAGCCUGAUGCAGUAGGAAAGAAAAACCCAUUUUUUUUUAAGAAGAAAUUCAAGCUGGCUGCAGAAAUUUGCAUAAGCAGCAAGGAGCCUAAUGUUAAUCCCCAAGACCAUGGGGAAAAUGUCUCCAGGUCAUGUCAGAGACCUUCAUGGCAGCCCCUCCCAUCACAGGCCCAGAGGCCCAGGAGGAAAAAGUGGUUUUGUGGGCUGGGCCCAGGGUGUCUGUGCUGUGUGCAGCCUAGGGACUUGGUGUCCCUAGGACUUGGUGUCCCUGGGACUGUGUCCCAGCUGCUCCAGCCAUGGCUGAAAGAAGCCAACAUAGAGCUUGGGCUGUGGCUUCAGAGGUUAGAGGCCCCAAGCAUUGGCAGCUUCCAUGUGAUGUUGAGCCUGCGGGUGCACAGAUGUCAAGAAUUGAGAUUUGAGAACCUCUGCCUAGAUUUCAGAAGAUAUAUGGAAACACCUGGAUGUCCAGGCAAAAGUUUGCUGCAGGGGCAGAGAACCUCAUGGAGAACCUCUCCUAGGGCAGUGUGGAAGGGAAAUGUGGGGCAGAGCCCCCACACAGAGUCCCUACUGGGGCACUGCCUAGUGGAGCUGUGAGAAGAAGUCCACAGUCCCAGAAUGGUAGACCCCAGAAUGGUAGAUCAACCACCAACUUGCAUCUUGUGCCUGGAAAAGCCACAGAUACUCAACAUCAGCCUGAGAAAGCAGCCAGGAGGGAGGCUGUACUCUGCAAAGCCACAGGGGCGGAGCUGCCCAAGACCAUGGGAACCUAUCUCUUGCGUCAGCGUGACCUGAAUGUGAGACAUGGAGUCAAAGGAGAUCAUUAUGGAGCUUUAAAAUUUGACUGCCCCACUGGAUUUCAGACUUGCACGGACCCUGUAACCCCUUUGUUUUGGCCAAUUUCUCUCAUUUGGAACAGCUGUAUUUACCCAAUACCUGUACCCACCCCCCCAUUGUAUCUAGGAGGUAACUAGCUUGCUUUUACAGGCUUGUAAGUGGAAGGGACUUGCCUUGUCUCAGAUGAGACUUUGGACUGUGGACUUUGGGGUUAAUGCUGAAAUGAGUUAAGACUUUGGGGAACUGUUGGGAAGGAAUGAUUGGUUUUGAAAUGUGAGGAUUAUGAAAUUUGGAGGAGCCCAGGGCAGAAUGAUAUGGUUUGGCUGUGUCCCCACCCAAAUCUCAACUUGAAUUGUAUCUCCCAGAAUUCUCACAUGUUGUGGGAGGGACCCAGGGGGAGGUAAUUGAAUCAUGGAGGCCAGUCUUUUCUGUGCUAUUCUCAUGAUAAUAAGUCCCACAAGAUCUGAUGGGUUUAUCAAGAGUUUCUGCUUUUGCUUCUUCCUCAUUUUUCUCUUGAUGCCACCAUGUAAGAAGUACCUUUUGCCUCCCACCUGAUUUUGAGGCCUCCCCAGCCAUGUGGAACUGUAAGUCCAAUUAAACCCUUUUUAUUCCCAGUC